UCUGACUUCUCAUACUUAACAGCUCUAGUUUUUCCCACACUAGCAACGGCCCAUAGGAGACUAAUUACACUAUAUAUAUUUUUGUUUGGCACCAAACUUGUCCUUGCUAUUGAUAUUUUUGGUCAGGCACAUUUUUGCUAUAAUGUCUGUUUUCUCCCCAAUGCAGUAUGCAGGGACAUCCUGGGAUGAACUAAAACACGUAAGACAGGCUGUCGGAUUCUUGGUAUGUCCUCUUGGUUCUUUAUCAUGGUGCAAUUCAGAUGUUGGAGAUGGCGGAAACAUAGAAACAACUGAUGUUGAUCAUGCAGAUGACAAAUGUCCACACAGAAUACUUACCAGAAAUUGUAGUGGCAUGUAGUGCUGGCAACUCAGGUCCAACUCCUUCAACUGUCACUAAUGUGGCUCCAUGGAUCAUCACUGUUGCUGCAAGUAGCAUUGAUAGAGUUUUUCCUUCACCCCUUGUGCUAGGAAAUCAAAUGAAAAUUCAGAAAUUGCCUCCCCGGUACCCUUUCACCAAAGCUUGUAAAAGGAAAGAUUGUUGUCUGUUUGGGAUUCAAUGUCCAGAGUGCUAUGGAGGUGAAAAGAGUAGGAGGUGUAGGUAUCGUCCUAGUAAACAUCUACGGGAGUGACAGUGGUAUGCCCCUUGGAGCUCAAUUACUUACAGGAACAACAGUAGGACUGAAUGACAUAGCUACAAUUGUCAAUUACACAAGGACUAAUGUGAAUCCAACGGCAACAUUAAUCCCAGGAACUACUAUUUUGGGUAGUAAACCAGCACCAUUCAUGGCUCCCUUUACCUCAUUGGGUCCAAAUGGCCUUGAACCUAAUAUUAUUAAGAUUACUGACAGGUGCGAUUCUCGCUCAUGAGUUAAUGCGUGGGUGGUUACACCUUAAAGGUACUACAUGAGUUCCUUCUGUUACUUUUCCUUUUUUCUUUGAUUGAGGGUCAUAGAAGACAUGUUGAUGCAUGACAAGAACAUUAGAGCAACUUCAUUGAUGUAGUAUUUAGGUGUAGCAGUACUAAAGAAGCACAACACAACGUAAAACACUCCGACAAUGUAGAAUAUGGUCUGCUAAAAUAGCACAUAUUUUAUACUA
Camellia sinensis is the source of this 1098-nucleotide non-coding RNA. NCBI's taxonomy places the organism in Eukaryota, Viridiplantae, Streptophyta, Magnoliopsida, Ericales, Theaceae. The record is from RefSeq and is a predicted model, not a curated record.